RNAcentral lists this microRNA (22 nucleotides) under Mus musculus (house mouse). Its description in RNAcentral is "mmu-miR-706". Its record names the gene mmu-miR-706. The record is from miRBase by way of RNAcentral. Lineage: Eukaryota; Metazoa; Chordata; Mammalia; Rodentia; Muridae.
AGAGAAACCCUGUCUCAAAAAA